Molecule: ribosomal RNA, 253 nt
Filed under: uncultured bacterium
Lineage: Bacteria
Description: partial 16S ribosomal RNA
Rfam family: Bacterial small subunit ribosomal RNA
Source: RNAcentral
UACGUAGGUGACCAGCGUUGUCCGGAUUUACUGGGCGUAAAGCGCACGUAGGCGGUCUUUUAAGUCGGGGGUGAAAUCCUGGAGCUCAACUCCAGAACUGCCUUCGAUACUGGAAGACUUGAGUCCGGGAGAGGUGAGUGGAACUGCGAGUGUAGAGGUGAAAUUCGUAGAUAUUCGCAAGAACACCAGUGGCGAAGGCGGCUCACUGGCCCGGUACUGACGCCGAGGUGCGAAAGCGUGGGGAGCAAACAGG